Molecule: ribosomal RNA, 468 nt
Filed under: uncultured bacterium
Lineage: Bacteria
Description: partial 16S ribosomal RNA
Rfam family: Bacterial small subunit ribosomal RNA
Source: RNAcentral
GACGAACGCUGGCGGCGUGCCUAACACAUGCAAGUCGAACGGAAAGGCCCUGCUUUUGUGCGGUGCCCGAGUGGCGAACGGGUGAGUAACACGUGAGUAACCGGCCCUUGACUUUGGGAUAAGUUCAGGAAAGGGGGGCUAAUACCGGACAGGAUCUCCCGCUGCAGGGUGGGCGUUGGAUAGUUUCGGCGGUUGGGGAUGGACUCGCGGCUGAUCGGCUUGUUGGUGGGGUAGUGGCAUACCAAGGCUUGGACGGGUGGCCGGCCUGAGAGGGUGACCGGCCACAUUAGGACUGCGGUACGCCGCAGACUCGUACAUGAGGCAGCGGUGGCGAGUGUUACACAGUGAGCGGGAGCCUGAUGCGACGACGCCGCGUGCGGGAAGACGGCCUUCUGGUAGUGAACCGCAUUCGGCUGUGACGCAGCGUGAGUGACGGUAAUGGGUAAAGAAGCACCGGCUAACUACGUG